RNAcentral lists this ribosomal RNA (572 nucleotides) under uncultured bacterium. RNAcentral describes it as "partial 16S ribosomal RNA". It matches the Rfam family "Bacterial small subunit ribosomal RNA", at positions 355 to 919 of the family's 1533-position model. The record is from RNAcentral.
UGGGGAAUUUUGGACAAUUGGGCGAAAGCCUGAUCCAGCAAUGCCGCGUGUGUGAAGAAGGCCUUCGGGUUGUAAAGCACUUUUGUCCGGAAAGAAAUCCUUGGCUCUAAUACAGUCGGGGGAUGACGGUACCGGAAGAAUAAGCACCGGCUAACUACGUGCCAGCAGCCGCGGUAAUACGUAGGGUGCAAGCGUUAAUCGGAAUUACUGGGCGUAAAGCGUGCGCAGGCGGUUUGCUAAGACCGAUGUGAAAUCCCCGGGCUCAACCUGGGAACUGCAUUGGUGACUGGCAGGCUAGAGUAUGGCAGAGGGGGGUAGAACUCCACGUGUAGCAGUGAAAUGCGUAGAGAUGUGGAGGAAUACCGAUGGCGAAGGCAGCCCCCUGGGCCAAUACUGACGCUCAUGCACGAAAGCGUGGGGAGCAAACAGGAUUAGAUACCCUGGUAGUCCACGCCCUAAACGAUGUCAACUAGUUGUUGGGGAUUCAUUUCCUUAGUAACGUAGCUAACGCGUGAAGUUGACCGCCUGGGGAGUACGGUCGCAAGAUUAAAACUCAAAUGAAUUGACGGGGU